CAGCACCUCAAGUGGUCAGGAUGAUUAUUGGGCCUAAAGCAUCCGUAGCCUGCUUUGUCAGUUUUCGGGUAAAUCCAUACGCUCAACGUAUGGGCUGCCGGGAAUACUACAAAGCUAGGGAGUGGGAGAGGUAGACGGUACUCGGUAGGAAGGGGUAAAAUCCUUUGAUCUAUUGAUGACCACCUGUGGCGAAGGCGGUCUACCAGAACACGUCCGACGGUGAGGGAUGAAAGCUGGGGGAGCAAACCGGAUUAGAUACCCGAGUAGUCC
RNAcentral lists this ribosomal RNA (270 nucleotides) under uncultured archaeon. RNAcentral's name for it is "partial 16S ribosomal RNA". It matches the Rfam family "Archaeal small subunit ribosomal RNA", at positions 477 to 747 of the family's 1478-position model. The record is from RNAcentral.